Molecule: long non-coding RNA, 1399 nt
Organism: Vidua macroura (Pin-tailed whydah)
Lineage: Eukaryota; Metazoa; Chordata; Aves; Passeriformes; Viduidae
Exons: 6
Source: RefSeq, a predicted model, not a curated record
GCCAGCUCUGCUCAGCUCUCCUCUGACUGUUCUCACAUGCAGUUUGUUGGGAUUAUGGAAAGCAGAAGCUGAGAGGAAUGUCUGCUGAGAGGAUAUCUGCUGUAUCACAUAUUUUGUCUGUUUCCAGUUCAGAGAUAUUUGACUUCCAGGAGAGAAUGUUAAAUGCUGCUCCCUUAUGGGUUGUCAAGAGUGAGGAAUUUCAUGUGAAAUCUAAAGGCACCUACAACUUGAGUGGGACCUUUGGAACUGCUGCCCCAGACUCAGCAAUGCUUUGCCUUGGCAGACACCAAUACAAUACAGAUGGUAAAGGAUAGAACGUUUUCUUGGAUAAAACAUCUGGCUGUUUCAUGAUCUUCACAAGCUGCUGGCUUCUGAGCAGGCUAACCCAAGGAGAUUUGUGUGGUCUCACCGGAUGCUGAGUGCUUAUGAAGACACUGAAGAUAUCCUUUGCCAAUACUCUUAAGUGCUCUCCUGGAUUUUGAUGGUCAAAUUUUGUAAGAGAUAUCUCGUCAGUGCUUGUCCCAUCUCUUCCCUAAGUGAUUGCAUCGGAUGAGCAGAAAAGGAUGGAUAAUUGCCUAUUGGAUUCUGAUGUGGUCUCUUUUGAGAAGGGGAGAGAAAUAUAUUCCCUGCUUCCCAGCUGAAGGAAACAACUGUCUCUCUGGAACAAAUCAGUGGCUCAAGGCUGAAAUUGCUUGAAAAUGAUGCCUAAUACUUUGUUAACAUCCUCUGGUUUGGGGCUCUUAUACUUAAAAACAAGAGGGUCACACUGAAAAUAAACCAUGCUCCACAUCUGGCUUUUCCUUCAAAAAACCUCUCAUGGUUAAGUGAGUGAACUACCCACCAUUAACAAGUUGCUGACUUUUUUUUUUAUGUGCUCAACCGAGUGUGAAGUGACAGUAUCUAUUUUCUGCUCUCUCUCAAUGAAUAAGCUGCUUACAUCUGGACUGGGAUCUGCUGCUACAGAAGAUGCUUUCCUGCAUAUUUUCCUCCACAGAAAAUGGAUGCUACGUAAACCAGUGGCUCUGGGCUGUUCCUUCUUGCAAACAAGUGCAGAUGGAGCAGUGAAGUGCAACUUUUCAGUCUGAGGUAAAUUUUGUGCAAAAUUUAAAUAAAUUUAACAAAGAAAGGACCUGUCCUGUGGACUGAGAAGGAUUGCUGGAUGCUUUGAGCUCUUUGACCUCUGCCACUGUGGAGUCAGAGUAGAGGAAAUAACAUUGGUAACUCAGUACAUUAGAGUACUGAGCCUUCCCUACACAGACAUCAGUUGAGUUCCCUGCAAGAAAAUUCACUAUCUCUGCAUGGAUUCGCUUAUUCAUGCUUGGGGAGGAGCAGAAGAGGAAGGGAGGGAGUUAAAACAGUUCAGUGUAUACAGAAAUCAAUGGAAAGAUUCACAUCAACU